RNAcentral lists this ribosomal RNA (242 nucleotides) under uncultured bacterium. RNAcentral's name for it is "partial 16S ribosomal RNA". It matches the Rfam family "Bacterial small subunit ribosomal RNA", at positions 524 to 765 of the family's 1533-position model. The record is from RNAcentral.
UACGUAGGGUGCAAGCGUUAAUCGGAAUUACUGGGCGUAAAGCGUGCGCAGGCAGUUUUGUAAGUCUGUCGUGAAAUCCCCGGGCUCAACCUGGGAAUUGCGAUGGAGACUGCAAGGCUAGAAUCUGGCAGAGGGGGGUAGAAUUCCACGUGUAGCAGUGAAAUGCGUAGAGAUGUGGAGGAACACCGAUGGCGAAGGCAGCCCCCUGGGUCAAGAUUGACGCUCAUGCACGAAAGGCGUGG